AUUGAACGCUGGCGGCAUGCUUUACACAUGCAAGUCGAACGGCAGCGCGGGCUUCGGCCUGGCGGCGAGUGGCGAACGGGUGAGUAAUACAUCGGAACGUGCCCAGUAGUGGGGGAUAGCUCGGCGAAAGCCGGAUUAAUACCGCAUACGACCUGAGGGUGAAAGCGGGGGAUCUUCGGACCUCGCGCUAUUGGAGCGGCCGAUGGCAGAUUAGCUAGUUGGUGGGGUAAAGGCCUACCAAGGCGACGAUCUGUAGCUGGUCUGAGAGGACGACCAGCCACGCGGGGACUGAGCCCCGCCUCAGACUCCCAGGGGGGGCGGCGGUGGGAAUUUUUGGAGAGGGGGCGAACAUGGUACCAAGAAAUGCCGCGUGAGGGAUGGGGGCCCUAGUGUUGUAAAGCCCUUUUGGGGGGAAAAAAAAGGUUUGGGCGAAUACCCGGUUUGGUUGACGUUCCCCGCAAAAAAAGCCCGGGCAAUCGAUG
RNAcentral lists this ribosomal RNA (482 nucleotides) under uncultured bacterium. RNAcentral's name for it is "partial 16S ribosomal RNA". It matches the Rfam family "Bacterial small subunit ribosomal RNA", at positions 28 to 505 of the family's 1533-position model. The record is from RNAcentral.